GAGUUUGAUCCUGGCUCAGGAUGAACGCUGACAGAAUGCUUAACACAUGCAAGUCGACUGGAAUUCACUUUCGGGUGAUAGUACGGUGGCGGACGGGUGAGUAACGCGUAAAGAACUUGCCCUCUAGACUGGGACAACUGUUGGAAACGACAGCUAAUACCGGAUAUUAUGGAACUGUGACAUCGCAGAUCUAUGAAAGGCUAUAUGCGCUAGAGGAGAGCUUUGCGUCCCAUUAGCUAGUUGGUAGGGUAAUGGCCUACCAAGGCGACGAUGGGUAGCCGGCCUGAGAGGGUGAUCGGCCACAAGGGGACUGAGACACGGCCCUUACUCCUACGGGAGGCAGCAGUGGGGAAUAUUGGACAAUGGACCAAAAGUCUGAUCCAGCAAUUCUGUGUGCACGAUGAAGGUCUUCGGAUCGUAAAGUGCUUUCAGGUGGGAAGAAGCAAGUGACGGUACCACCAGAAGAAGCGACGGCUAAAUACGUGCCAGCAGCCGCGGUAAUAC
RNAcentral lists this ribosomal RNA (504 nucleotides) under uncultured bacterium. Its description in RNAcentral is "bacterial SSU rRNA". It matches the Rfam family "Bacterial small subunit ribosomal RNA", at positions 9 to 526 of the family's 1533-position model. The record is from RNAcentral.